CAGCCGCCGCGGGAAUACGUAGGGUGCAAGCGUUAAUCGGAAUUACUGGGCGUAAAGCGUGCGCAGGCGGUUUUGCAAGUCAGAUGUGAAAUCCCCGGGCUCAACCUGGGAACUGCAUUCGAAACUACAAGGCUAGAGUGUGUCAGAGGGGGGUAGAAUUCCACGUGUAGCAGUGAAAUGCGUAGAGAUGUGGAGGAAUACCGAUGGCGAAGGCAGCCCCCUGGGAUAACACUGACGCUCAUGCACGAAAGCGUGGGGAGCAAGCAGGAUUAGAUACCCCGGUAGUCCCUGUCUCUUAUAC
RNAcentral lists this ribosomal RNA (301 nucleotides) under uncultured bacterium. RNAcentral's name for it is "partial 16S ribosomal RNA". It matches the Rfam family "Bacterial small subunit ribosomal RNA", at positions 509 to 807 of the family's 1533-position model. The record is from RNAcentral.